UACGGAGGGAGCGAGCGUUGUCCGAAGUUACUGGGCGUAAAGCGCGCGUAGGCGGGAAAUUAAGUGAGAAGUGAAAGGCUGGGGCUUAACCCCAUGCAGUGCUCCUCAUACUGGUUUUCUUGAGGGUGGUAGAGAGAAGUGGAAUGGCUGGUGUAGCGGUGAAAUGCGCAGAUAUCAGGAGGAACACCGGUGGCGAAGGCGGGUCUCUGGGCCGAUACUGACGCUGAGGAGCGAAAGCGUGGGGAGCGAACAGG
Molecule: ribosomal RNA, 254 nt
Filed under: uncultured bacterium
Lineage: Bacteria
Description: partial 16S ribosomal RNA
Rfam family: Bacterial small subunit ribosomal RNA
Source: RNAcentral